Molecule: ribosomal RNA, 505 nt
Filed under: uncultured bacterium
Lineage: Bacteria
Description: partial 16S ribosomal RNA
Rfam family: Bacterial small subunit ribosomal RNA
Source: RNAcentral
GACGAACGCUGGCGGCGUGCCUAAUACAUGCCAGUAGAACGCACAGUUUAUACCGUAGCUUGCUACACCAUACACUGGGAGUUGCGAACGGGCGGGUAACGCGUAGGUAACCUGCCUGGCAGCGGGGGAUAACUAUUGGAAACGCUAGCUAAUACCGCAUAAUAUUAAUUAUUGCUUGAUAAUUGAUUGAAAGAUGCAAUUGCAUCACUACCAGAUGGACCUGCGUUGUAUUAGCUAGUAGGGGAGGUAACGGCUCCUCUAGGCGACGAUACAUAGCCGACCUGAGAGGGUGGACGGCCACACUGGGAAUGAGACAAGGCCCAGGACCCUACGGGAGGCAGCAGUAGGGAAACUUCGGCAAUGGACGAAAGGCUGACCGAGCAACGCCGCGGGAGGGAAGAAGGGUUUCGGAUCGUAAAGCUCUGUUGUAAGAGAAGAACGGGUGUGAGAGUGGAAAGUUCACACUGUGACGGUAUCUUACCAGAAAGGGACGGCUAACUACGUG